CCUACGGGUGGCAGCAGUGGGGAAUAUUGGGCAAUGGGCGCAAGCCUGACCCAGCAACGCCGCGUGAAGGAAGAAGGCUUUCGGGUUGUAAACUUCUUUUCUCAGGGACGAAGCAAGUGACGGUACCUGAGGAAUAAGCCACGGCUAACUACGUUCCAGCAGCCGCGGUAAUACGUAGGUGGCAAGCGUUAUCCGGAUUUACUGGGUGUAAAGGGCGUGUAGGCGGGACUGCAAGUCAGAUGUGAAACCCACGGGCUCAACCUGUGGCCUGCAUUUGAAACUGUAGUUCUUGAGGACUGGAGAGGCAGACGGAAUUCCGAGUGUAGCGGUGAAAGGCGUAGAUAUUAGGAGGAACACCAGUGGCGAAGGCGGGCUGCUGGACAGCAACUGACGCUGAGGCGCGAAAGCGUGGGGAGCAAACAGGAUUAGAUACCCGGGUAGUC
RNAcentral lists this ribosomal RNA (443 nucleotides) under uncultured bacterium. Its description in RNAcentral is "partial 16S ribosomal RNA". It matches the Rfam family "Bacterial small subunit ribosomal RNA", at positions 338 to 795 of the family's 1533-position model. The record is from RNAcentral.